Molecule: ribosomal RNA, 292 nt
Filed under: uncultured eukaryote
Lineage: Eukaryota
Description: partial 18S ribosomal RNA
Rfam family: Eukaryotic small subunit ribosomal RNA
Source: RNAcentral
GGUUGAUCCUGCCAGUAGUCAUAUGCUUGUCUCAAAGAUUAAGCCAUGCAUGUCUAAGUAUAAACAUCUUUAUACAGUGAAACUGCGUACAGCUCAUUAUAUCAGUUAUUAUUUAUUUGAUGGUACCUUACUACAUGGAUACCCGUAGUAAUUCUAGAGCUAAUACAUGCGUAAAGUCCCGACUUUUUGGAAGGGAUGUAUUUAUUAGAUUAAAAACCAAUGCAGGCAACUGCUCCUUUGGUGAUUCAUAGUAACUUUAACGGAUCGCACGGCUUCACGCUGGCGACAGUUC